AGAGUAUCAUACCCGGGAGAAGCCUUAGUGAUCAUCUCAUCAUAUCAAAGCUGGAAAUUGAGGCCAGAGGAAAGAAGUGAGCUGUCCAAGAUGAUAUGGUCAGUCAGUGCCAGUUAAGAGUGGACCCCUGGUUCACUGGCUCUCAGACCAGUGUUCUUCCCACCACUCCUUGGCCAAGAUGAGUAACAUGUUCUUACCAGAAACUGUCAUGUAUGUCUUGGAUAAAGGGUCAACUUCUCCAUGAAGCCCAUUCUGAUUUUUCCAUAAAGAUACUGGUCUACUCUAAUGAUUCUUUCCUGGAUUUGAUCAUUUGAAGGAGUUAAUAUCAACACCAACCACAACCUAUAUUAUUUGUUACCUUCUGCUAAUUGAUUAACACAUUUUAUUAGUUAAUCUUCUUAACAGCCCUCUGAAAUGAAGGGGUUUUUUUGUGUUUUUUUUUUUACAAUUACCUGUGAGAAUAAGGAGGCCAAGAAUUAUCCAGUCGCUUCCCCACAGUCAUAAAGCUGCAAGAAACAACAACAAUACAAAGCCUCGUUGGUGGCUUCAAUUUGGAAGGAGACUGCCCUAUCUGGAACUGAAUUGGCCGAGAUCUUACAAAAGUAGCUGAUGCCUUUUCAAAAGCUACUGUGGUGAAUGAAACUUCCCAGUCACACUUGGAAUGUGAUGUUUUUCCAUGAAGCUAUGCUUGCAAAGAUGAAAUCUGAAGAAUAUGUGAGCAUACUUUAAAGACCCUGCCAAGAAGUCUCUAGAAUGUAUGCACAACAGAGCUAAAGGCAUUUGUGAUUCCACUCUAGCCGGUUUGGCUCAGUGGAUAGAGCUUUGGCCUGGGGACCGAAGGAUGCUGAGUCAAGGGCACAUGCCAGGGUUUCGGGCUUGAUCCCCAGUAGGGGUCGUGC
This is a long non-coding RNA of Myotis myotis, 899 nucleotides long. RefSeq lists it as uncharacterized. Lineage: Eukaryota; Metazoa; Chordata; Mammalia; Chiroptera; Vespertilionidae. The record is from RefSeq and is a predicted model, not a curated record. The transcript is spliced from 5 exons.